AGAUUAAGAUCAAUCUUUCCUCGCUUAACAUCUAUGAUUGCUCCAACUGUAGCCAAAAAAGGUCUUCCUAAUAUCAAGGGAUCUUUUGGUUCUUAAUCCAUGUUUAGCACUACGAAGUCUGUAGGCACCUCCACAUUUCCAAUCUUGAUAGGCAAAUCUUCUAAUAACCCAUGAGGUAGUCUAACAGACCUAUCUGCCAAGAUCAAGGAGAUAUUGCAGUAUUUAUACUUGUUGAAACCCAACCUCUUAGCUACUGAGAGUGGCAUGAGAUUUACUGAUGCUCCUAGGUCACAAAGGCAUUUAUUGAAAGUCAAUGAACCUAGGGAGCAUGGUAGAGUGAAUGAACCAGGGUCUCCUAGCUUUUCUGGGACAUCGUUCUCCUGUAUGAUGGCACUGCACUCAUGGCUCAGAACUGUUGUUUUCUGAACCUCUUGAAUUCUCUCCAUGAUCAAGUCUUUGAGGAACUUUUUGGAAUCCGGGAUACGCGUUAGAGCAUCAGCAAGAGGUAUCCUUAAUUCGACUGCCUUGAUGUUCUUGGCAAACAUAGCUCUGUACUUAUCUUCUAACUCUUUCUUAUGUCGACCAGGAAAUGGAAGUGGGGGCUUGUAAGGAUGAGGAAUGGAGACUUUUUCUUUGCUUUUGACAACAACAUGUUUCGGAUCAAUUGGUGAUGUUGCUGGGAAGGUCGGUCGAGUGAAGUGGUCGAGUGGCAGCUCGAGUGACAAGUCGAGUGGCUGCUCGAGUGACUGGUCGAGUGGCUGCUCGAGUGACUGGUCGAGUGGCAGCUCGAGUUGUUUGUCAGCUUGAUCUUUAUUGAGACUGAAAUCCUCCCCAUCUUGGUAUGCACUGUCCUCAGUUACUGACUUGAGUCUCUCUCUAGUGGAUAACUAACUUCCACUCCUUAUGUUGAUAGCAUGAACAUUACCAUACUCCUUGGGAUUCUGAAUUGACUUCCCUGGAAGUCCCGUAACUUUGGGAGCAGAGGUAGAUGCGAAUUGUCCUUCUAAUUAUCUGACUUUGGAAUUCAACGCCUCCACUUUUGCAUUCAGGUCAUUGUAGUUGCAGUCCAGCUUGUGGUGCAAUUCGGAUAACUUCUUAGCAAUUUCCAUGGAGCUAUAUGCUUGUCCAUGUAGCAGUUGUUGGACCAUCUGUUUUAUUUCAGCAUCAGGAGCAGCAAGACCUUGGUUUUGCGGAGGUGCAAACCCAGGUGGUGGUGGUUGUUGGUAGUUCCCCUGGAAUUGCUGCUUGGGAACAAAACCUUGAUUGUAGGGAACAAAAGGUUUGUUCUGACCUUGUUCUUGUUGUGGAGGAUACACUUGAUCCUGAGGAUUAGCAACGUUGGUGCUGCGGUAAGAGAGGUUGGGGUUGUUCAUCUUGAAGUUGUUGUACCCUUUAUAGCCACCUUGAUUGUUGAUGUAGCUAACUUCUUCUAAUUGGAUAACCUCCCCAUCUUGGACUUGAUACUGCUUGUCAUCAACAAGGAAGUGCACAUGCUUCUGCUGGCUACGAAGAAUCUUGUCCAGCUUGUCAUUCAGCACUUUGAUCUCCUUUCUGUGUUUGUCAUCAGAGUCAGUUGUGCCUCUGAUAGUUCUGUCGCAGUCCUCGUUGUAAUUACCAUCUGAUUGAGCAAGGUUCUCAACCAAUUCUCAGCCUUCUUCAACAUCUUUUUUCUGGAAAUUCCCAUUGUUGGCGGUAUCCAGAAGCAUUCUAAUGCGUGGUAGGACUCCUCUAUAAAGAGUGCUGAGCAGAGAGGCUUUAGUAAAGCCAUGAUGAGGGCAUUGGUUGGUGUAACCCUUGAAACGCUCCCAUUCUUCACAGAAGCUUUCACCAGUCUUCUGUGAGAAACCAGAAAUCUCAUUUCUGAGUCUUGCAGUUCUGGCAUUGGAGAAGAACUUUGAUAGAAAAGCCUUCUUGCAAUCAUCCCAGGUGGUGAUUGAGUCAUGGGGCAGAUUCUUCUCCCAGAUGUGUGCUUUGUCGCCCAAGGAGAAAGGAAACAAACGGAGCUUGAAUCCGUCUUCACUGACACCAUUGAUCUUUGUCAGGUUGCAGAGCCUAUCGAAUUCAUCUAGGUGGUCGAGUGGAUCCUCCAUUAGCAGACCAUGAAAUUUAUUCCCCUGAAUUAUCGAGAUGAGACCACUCUUAAUCUCGAAGUUGUUGUUCUGGAUAGCAGGAGGUGCAAUUCCUUUCCUCUGACGGUGAUCACGUGGUGCAUCUCCAGCACCAAUGUUGGCAGUGCCAUUUUGUUUAUUCUGUUCUUCAGCCAUUUCGAGUGGUUGCUGAGGUACAAGGUUGACUGUGUUUCUCCUUUCUCUGAGUUCCCGAGCUAUGCGGUCAAUGUUGUCGUUGAAAAGGAGGUUCUGAUUGCCUGUUGAUCGAGUUCGCAAACAGCAAAGAUGUACCUGGAUCAAGAAGACAACAAGAAAAACACACAGUUAGUAACCGAAAAGAAAAUUGAAAAAGAACUUGAUCGAAGCAAGUCUGAAAUCUCAAAUGUAACAAACAAACACCCAAUUGGCAACGACGCCAAAUUGAUAAUAGGUUUUUAGUCAAUUAUCCUAAAACACCAAUCAUGUCGUUGUAGUAUUUUAGGUUGUCAAUCCAAAUGGGUGUGAUGCUAACAAUCAAGAUGUGAUCAGAAGUCACUAAGUCAAGCUAAGCAAUAACAGGUUUGGUGUGUUCUAGCAGUCCUAACAGAAAUUCAAGCAGAAAACAAUAAAACACUCGACCAACACAGCUCUU
Molecule: small RNA, 2739 nt
Filed under: Arabidopsis thaliana (thale cress)
Lineage: Eukaryota; Viridiplantae; Streptophyta; Magnoliopsida; Brassicales; Brassicaceae
Description: ATSL273570
Rfam family: Plant small nucleolar RNA R71 (bases 1762-1868)
Source: RNAcentral